Long non-coding RNA from Gopherus flavomarginatus (Mexican gopher tortoise), 1562 nucleotides. RefSeq lists it as uncharacterized. The transcript has 4 exons. Lineage: Eukaryota; Metazoa; Chordata; Testudines; Testudinidae. The record is from RefSeq and is a predicted model, not a curated record.
GGAAAAUAGGCACCUAUAUAAGACAAAGCCCUGAAUAUCAGGACUGUCCCAGAGAUGAAAGUAAGCCAGUGUGUCUGGUGAUAAAGUGGCUGCUGGUAUGGGCCGGGACACAGCCAACCGUACUGGCAGGGCUGCUGAUGGGGUGUGAGGGGGCACAAAAGGGGCAGCUGCCCCGAGGCCUGGCAAUUUAAAAGGGCUGCCUGGGGGAGUCUGCCCGCAGCCCUGCCCCUUCCGUCCAAGACCCCGCCCCUUCCGGAGGCCCAGAGCCACCCCUCUACACACACACACCUUGCCCAGGACCCCAGCCACCCCACAUACCGAACGCCAGCAUUCUGCGGACAUCUAGUGUGUGAAGGGAUGCCUCCCUGUUGUCGGUAUGUGGCUUGGGAAAGAAUACAGUGUGGAGAGCUGAUCAGCACAGGUGACCAUGCAGUCCCGGAAUUGAAAAAGAGCUCCAGCAUGGACCGUACAGGAGACACUGGAGCUGAUCGCUGUAUGGGAAGAUGAAUCCAUGCUAUCAGAAGUCCGUUCCAAAAGACGGAAUGCCAAAACAUUUGAAAGAAAAUCUCCAAGGCCAUGAUGGACAGAGGCCAGAACAGGGAGUCAACACAGUGCCGCGUGAAACUUAAGGAGCUGAGACAAGUGUACCAGAGAGCCAAAGAAUCAAAUGGAUGGUCUGGGACAGAGCCCCAGACAUGCCACUUCUACGCUGAGCUGUAGGCAACUCUAGGGGGGCCCCCCACCACUACCCCACCCCUGUCCAUGGACUCUGAUGAUGAGGUACUCUCAGUCGCCAUGCCUGAGGAUUUUGCGGACAGGGAAGAUGAGGAGGAGGAGGAGGAGGUGGAGGUGGUUGAGGAGAGCACACAGCACACUGUUUUCCCCGACAGCCAGGAUCUUUUUCUCACUCUGACUGAAAUACCCUCCCAACCCGGUAUCCUAGACCAUGAAGCCAUAGAAGGGACCUCUGCUGCAAACUUUUCAAGUCUCCCUCCUCUGUCUGAAAGGCUAUCUCAGAUAAGGUGGUGAAAAAAACGUACGCAAGAUGAAAUCUUCUCUGAGCUCAAGCAGGCGUCCCGCACUGAAAGAGCUCAGCAGAAAGUGUGGAGGGACACAAUAGCACAGGACAGGAAAGCAGCCAGUGAACGUGAGGAGAGGUGGCAUCAGGAAGAUCAGAGAAGACAGGAUGCAAUGCUGGGGCUACUGCGGCAACAAAAGGACAUGAUCCGGCAUCUGGUGGACGUUCAGGAAUGUCAGCUGGAGAGACUGCUGCUGCAGCCCCUGUUUAACCACCCUCCCUCCUCCUCAAGUUCCAUAGCCGCCUCCUCACCCAGAUGCCCAAGAACCACGGGGGGGGGGUGGGGGAGGAGGGAAGCUCCAGGCACCCAACCACUCCACCUCAGUGGACAGAAGGCUGUCAUUCAACAAGUAUUGAAGUGGCCUUUUCCUUCCCUCCUCCCACACCCCACCCAGGCUACCUUGGGAGUUCUCUCCCUAUUUUUAUAAUCAAUUAAUAAAGAAUAAAUGGCUUUUAAAUGAUAGUGACUUUAUUUUCAAGCUGU